This 523-nucleotide ribosomal RNA is filed under the name uncultured Gammaproteobacteria bacterium. Its description in RNAcentral is "bacterial SSU rRNA". It matches the Rfam family "Bacterial small subunit ribosomal RNA", at positions 9 to 524 of the family's 1533-position model. The record is from RNAcentral. Lineage: Bacteria; Pseudomonadati; Pseudomonadota; Gammaproteobacteria.
GAGUUUGAUCUUGGCUCAGAUUGAACGCUGGCGGCGUGCCUAACACAUGCAAGUCGAGCGGUAACAGGUGUAGCAAUACAUGCUGACGAGCGGCGGACGGGUGAGCAAUAUUUGGGAAUCUGCCUAUUAGUGGGGGACAACCCGGGGAAACUCGGGCUAAUACCGCAUACGCACUACGGUGGAAAGCCGGGGACCGCAAGGCCUGGCGCUAAUAGAUGAGCCCAAAUCGGAUUAGCUAGUUGGUGAGGUAAUGGCUCACCAAGGCUACGAUCCGUAGCUGGUCUGAGAGGACGACCAGCCACACCGGAACUGAGACACGGUCCGGACUCCUACGGGAGGCAGCAGUGGGGAAUAUUGGACAAUGGGCGAAAGCCUGAUCCAGCGACGCCGCGUGGGUGAAGAAGGCCUGCGGGUUGUAAAGCCCUUUCGGUGGGGAAGAAAAGCCUCGACCUAACACGUCGGGGUCUUGACGUAACCCCAUAGAAGAAGCACCGGCUAACUCUGUGCCAGCCGCCGCGGUAAC